RNAcentral lists this ribosomal RNA (774 nucleotides) under uncultured Neocallimastigales. Its description in RNAcentral is "partial large subunit ribosomal RNA". It matches the Rfam family "Eukaryotic large subunit ribosomal RNA", at positions 25 to 646 of the family's 3401-position model. The record is from RNAcentral. Lineage: Eukaryota; Fungi; Neocallimastigomycota; Neocallimastigomycetes; Neocallimastigales.
ACACUGACGUCGCGACGCAUAUCAAUAAGCGGAGGAAAAGAAACUAACAAGGAUUCCCCUAGUAACGGCGAGUGAAGCGGGAAGAGCUCAAAUUUGAAAUCUUAAAGGGUUUCCCUUUACGAAUUGUAGUUUAAAGAAGUGUUUUCUGUUGAGGUUUUGGUAAAAGUUCUUUGGAAUAGGACAUCAUAGAGGGUGAGAAUCCCGUAUUUGACCUUUACUUUCAACUUUGUGAUACACUUUCAAAGAGUCGGAUUGUUUGGGAAUGCAGUCCAAAAUGGGUGGUAAAUUUCAUCUAAAGCUAAAUAUUGGCGAGAGACCGAUAGCGAACAAGUACCGUGAGGGAAAGAUGAAAAGAACUUUGAAGAGAGAGUUAAACGGUACGUGAAAUUGUCAAAAGGGAAGCGUUUGACACCAGUGUUGUUUUCUCGAAAAUCAAUUAAAGAACUGUUUAUGCUAAGUCGUUUAGACUUUAUCAGCUAACUGUUUAGUUUUGAGCUUUUCUUUAAUGCACUUUUCAGUUAACAAGUCAACAUCAAUUUCUUUUGCUGUAAAAAAGCUUGAGGAAGGUGGCUUGAGAUUCGUCUUAAGUGUUUAUAGCCUCUUGCCUAUGCAGUCGGAGAGACUGAGGUCUGCAGCGUAGAUCCUUCGGGGCUAAAUGCAUUUGUGCUAAGUUAUAGCAUUUUAUAGACAACUUGUUGACUAUGAUUUGUCUUGUAGCUUACUCGCUUAUGCUAUUUUACCUACGCUUAGGAUGUUGAUGUGAUACUGCGAGCA